Molecule: ribosomal RNA, 616 nt
Filed under: uncultured bacterium
Lineage: Bacteria
Description: bacterial SSU rRNA
Rfam family: Bacterial small subunit ribosomal RNA
Source: RNAcentral
CGAGCGGUAACAUUUCUAGCUUGCUAGAAGAUGACGAGCGGCGGACGGGUGAGUAAUGCUUGGGAAUAUGCCUUAUGGUGGGGGACAACAGUUGGAAACGACUGCUAAUACCGCAUAAUGUCUACGGACCAAAGGGGGGGAUCUUCGGACCUCUCGCCAUUUGAUUAGCCCAAGUGAGAUUAGCUAGUUGGUGAGGUAAUGGCUCACCAAGGCGACGAUCUCUAGCUGGUUUGAGAGGAUGAUCAGCCACACUGGGACUGAGACACGGCCCAGACUCCUACGGGAGGCAGCAGUGGGGAAUAUUGCACAAUGGGCGCAAGCCUGAUGCAGCCAUGCCGCGUGUGUGAAGAAGGCCUUCGGGUUGUAAAGCACUUUCAGUAAGGAGGAAAGGGAUGUAGUUAAUAACUGCAUUCUGUGACGUUACUUACAGAAGAAGCACCGGCUAACUUCGUGCCAGCAGCCGCGGUAAUACGAGGGGUGCAAGCGUUAAUCGGAAUUACUGGGCGUAAAGCGUUCGUAGGCGGUUGAUUAAGCAAGAUGUGAAAGCCCAGGGCUCAACCUUGGAACUGCAUUUUGAACUGGUCAACUAGAGUACUGUAGAGGGUGGUGGAAUUUC